CUGGCUCAGAACGAACGCUGGCGGCAGGCUUAACACAUGCAAGUCGAACGCAUCCUUCGGGGUGAGUGGCAGACGGGUGAGUAACGCGUGGGAAUCUACCUCUUGCUACGGGAUAGCUCCGGGAAACUGGAAUUAAUACCGUAUGUGCCCUUCGGGGGAAAGAUUUAUCGGCAAGGGAUGAGCCCGCGUUGGAUUAGCUAGUUGGUGGGGUAAAGGCCUACCAAGGCGACGAUCCAUAGCUGGUCUGAGAGGAUGAUCAGCCACAUUGGGACUGAGACACGGCCCAAACUCCUACGGGAGGCAGCAGUGGGGAAUAUUGGACAAUGGGCGCAAGCCUGAUCCAGCCAUGCCGCGUGAGUGAUGAAGGUCUUAGGAUUGUAAAGCUCUUUCACCGGGGACGAUAAUGACGGUACCCGGAGAAGAAGCCCCGGCUAACUUCGUGCCAGCAGCCGCGGUAAUACGAAGGGGGCUAGCGUUGUUCGGAAUUACUGGGCGUAAAGCGCACGUA
RNAcentral lists this ribosomal RNA (508 nucleotides) under Aureimonas glaciistagni. RNAcentral describes it as "bacterial SSU rRNA". It matches the Rfam family "Bacterial small subunit ribosomal RNA", at positions 19 to 573 of the family's 1533-position model. Lineage: Bacteria; Pseudomonadati; Pseudomonadota; Alphaproteobacteria; Hyphomicrobiales; Aurantimonadaceae. The record is from RNAcentral.